Molecule: long non-coding RNA, 1127 nt
Organism: Plutella xylostella (diamondback moth)
Lineage: Eukaryota; Metazoa; Arthropoda; Insecta; Lepidoptera; Plutellidae
Source: RefSeq, a predicted model, not a curated record
UGGGGCGCGAUUCACAUCUCAACCGAAAUAUUUGUAAAGCGAUACGAACGAGUUACGAGAUGAAAUCCGCAAUGUUCAAAAACGCGAUUCAUAACACACAUACUUUGAUCUCGUUUUCAUAUCGCUAGUUCGUAUUGGGAUGGCUUGAGUGAAAUGAAUGAAACUAUAUUUUUUUAAUUGCCAUGCAAAAAUUAUAAAUACUACCACUAAUUGUUUUAAAUAAUUUUGUUCCUACAAUAUAUUUUGUUGGAAUUAGUGUCGAUAGCAAGUAUCAAGAAACGGCUUUUUAAUUCAACGUUGAAGAAAUUCAUAACCUGUGGCACUUUUGACAGCCGCCAUGUUUUCUACAUAAAAACAUUGAUUUUCUUUGCUCAUUUUCGUAUCAACGUAGUUUUUUUGGAAAAUAAGAAGAAAGGAAGUUUAACUAACUUAGAGAAAUACGACUGAGACAUGUAAGUAUCAAUGUAUUAACCUAUUUUUUUGGAAAUAUAACCGGUUGUAGUCAAGAAGGUAUUGUAAUUUACAAUGUAUCCAAUUUCUGUUUGAAUUGUUUUAGAAUCAUGAACGAGAUGAACCCAAGCAGCAGCCGAUGUGCUUGAGUUGCAGAUGGAGCAAGUGCGUUAUGAGAGGGCCACGGCUUCAGCCCUCACAAUGAAUAGCUGAAGCAAUGAACAGACAGGCUGCAGUCAAUGAGAGGCUUCUUGAGCAGGGGCUCCUCAUAUGGAAAAAGGCUAAUGAAAGGAACAAUCAAGACUGGCGGUGCGCGGGAGGAUCCCGUCCCUGCGCCUGGCCUUCAAUGGCCUCACGCCUCUCUUCUUCCUCUUCUUCAUGCGUCAAUUCAAACAGAGGAGCACCUGUGAUUACUGAUUACCUAAGUUCCUAUAUACAAUAAUAGUUUAAUAAUUGUUAACAAAAUAUUGUAUUAUAUAAGUAUUAAUAACUAUACACAAGGCUAAAAGCAUUUUGUAACAGUCAACCUAUAAGAGAGAAUAUGAGAAAAAAUAAGACAAUUUAAUCUUUGAUUGCCAUUAUCUGUAGCUUUAUUAAGUGGUAAAGGGACCUAAUAUAUGUAUUUGUGAUAAUUCAUAGAAUUUAUUAGUUCUAUCAAUAAAUAAAAUAGACAUGCA